GGGAGGGACGAUGGUGGAACGACUAUUGAGAAGGAAAUGGGAGACGGGACCAGCUGAGUUUGUUAAGAGAGAUGAGAGAAGAGACAGGGCUCUGUAGAAGAAGAAGAAGAUGAUGAG
Molecule: long non-coding RNA, 117 nt
Organism: Populus euphratica (Euphrates poplar)
Lineage: Eukaryota; Viridiplantae; Streptophyta; Magnoliopsida; Malpighiales; Salicaceae
Exons: 3
Source: RefSeq, a predicted model, not a curated record